Molecule: transfer RNA, 65 nt
Filed under: Trichodes sp.
Lineage: Eukaryota; Metazoa; Arthropoda; Insecta; Coleoptera; Cleridae
Description: tRNA-Cys
Source: RNAcentral
AUCUAAAUAUUCAAUUAUGAUUUUAAAUUGCAAAUUUAAAGGUAAAUAUAUAAAUUUUUUAGAUU